GGCCUAACACAUGCAAGUCGAACGGUAACAGGAAGAAGCUUGCUUCUUUGCUGACGAGUGGCGGACGGGUGAGUAAUGUCUGGGAAACUGCCUGAUGGAGGGGGAUAACUACUGGAAACGGUAGCUAAUACCGCAUAACGUCGCAAGACCAAAGAGGGGGACCUUCGGGCCUCUUGCCAUCAGAUGUGCCCAGAUGGGAUUAGCUAGUAGGUGGGGUAACGGCUCACCUAGGCGACGAUCCCUAGCUGGUCUGAGAGGAUGACCAGCCACACUGGAACUGAGACACGGUCCAGACUCCUACGGGAGGCAGCAGUGGGGAAUAUUGCACAAUGGGCGCAAGCCUGAUGCAGCCAUGCCGCGUGUAUGAAGAAGGCCUUCGGGUUGUAAAGUACUUUCAGCGGGGAGGAAGGGAGUAAAGUUAAUACCUUUGCUCAUUGACGUUACCCGCAGAAGAAGCACCGGCUAACUCCGUGCCAGCAGCCGCGGUAAUACGGAGGGUGCAAGCGUUAAUCGGAAUUACUGGGCGUAAAGCGCACGCAGGCGGUUUGUUAAGUCAGAUGUGAAAUCCCCGGGCUCAACCUGGGAACUGCAUCUGAUACUGGCAAGCUUGAGUCUCGUAGAGGGGGGUAGAAUUCCAGGUGUAGCGGUGAAAUGCGUAGAGAUCUGGAGGAAUACCGGUGGCGAAGGCGGCCCCCUGGACGAAGACUGACGC
RNAcentral lists this ribosomal RNA (712 nucleotides) under uncultured Pseudomonadota bacterium. RNAcentral describes it as "bacterial SSU rRNA". It matches the Rfam family "Bacterial small subunit ribosomal RNA", at positions 45 to 746 of the family's 1533-position model. Lineage: Bacteria; Pseudomonadati; Pseudomonadota. The record is from RNAcentral.